UACGAAGGGAGCUAGCGUUGUUCGGAAUCACUGGGCGUAAAGGGUGCGUAGGCGGCGCGGUAAGUCACUUGUGAAAUCUCUGAGCUUAACUCAGAACGGCCAAGUGAUACUGCAGUGCUAGAGUGUGGAAGGGGCAAUCGGAAUUCUUGGUGUAGCGGUGAAAUGCGUAGAUAUCAAGAGGAACACCUGAGGUGAAGACGGGUUGCUGGGCCAACACUGACGCUGAGGCGCGAAAGCCAGGGGAGCAAACGGG
This 253-nucleotide ribosomal RNA is filed under the name uncultured bacterium. RNAcentral's name for it is "partial 16S ribosomal RNA". It matches the Rfam family "Bacterial small subunit ribosomal RNA", at positions 524 to 776 of the family's 1533-position model. The record is from RNAcentral.